UACGUAGGGGGCAAGCGUUGUCCGGAUUUAUUGGGCGUAAAGAGCGUGUAGGCGGCCAGAUAGGUCUGUUGUGAAAACUCGAGGCUCAACCUCGAGACGCCGAUGGAAACCAUUUGGCUAGAGUCCGGAAGAGGUGAGUGGAAUUCCUGGUGUAGCGGUGAAAUGCGCAGAUAUCAGGAGGAACACCAGUAGCGAAGGCGGCACGCUGGGCCGGUACUGACGCUGAGGAGCGAAAGCGUGGGGAGCAAACAGG
RNAcentral lists this ribosomal RNA (253 nucleotides) under uncultured bacterium. RNAcentral describes it as "partial 16S ribosomal RNA". It matches the Rfam family "Bacterial small subunit ribosomal RNA", at positions 524 to 776 of the family's 1533-position model. The record is from RNAcentral.